GUGGGGAAUAUUGGACAAUGGGCGCAAGCCUGAUCCAGCCAUGCCGCGUGUGUGAAGAAGGCCUUUUGGUUGUAAAGCACUUUAAGCGAGGAGGAGGCUACUUGGAUUAAUACUCUAGGAUAGUGGACGUUACUCGCAGAAUAAGCACCGGCUAACUCUGUGCCAGCAGCCGCGGUAAUACAGAGGGUGCGAGCGUUAAUCGGAUUUACUGGGCGUAAAGCGUGCGUAGGCGGCUUUUUAAGUCGGAUGUGAAAUCCCUGAGCUUAACUUAGGAAUUGCAUGCGAGACUGGGAAGCUAGAGUAUGGGAGAGGAUGGUAGAAUUCCAGGUGUAGCGGUGAAAGGCGUAGAGAUCUGGAGGAAUACCGAUGGCGAAGGCAGCCAUCUGGCCUAAUACUGACGCUGAGGUACGAAAGCAUGGGGAGCAAACAGGAUUAGAUACCCUUGUAGUCC
Molecule: ribosomal RNA, 451 nt
Filed under: uncultured bacterium
Lineage: Bacteria
Description: partial 16S ribosomal RNA
Rfam family: Bacterial small subunit ribosomal RNA
Source: RNAcentral